RNAcentral lists this long non-coding RNA (319 nucleotides) under Dasypus novemcinctus (nine-banded armadillo). Its description in RNAcentral is "lncRNA (ENSDNOG00000050974.1)". The record is from RNAcentral. Lineage: Eukaryota; Metazoa; Chordata; Mammalia; Cingulata; Dasypodidae.
UGCGAUCUAAAGAGGGUGCCGGCUUCCCCCCGCCUGGCCCAAGCAGGACCUCCAAAGUCCAUGGCCCAUUCGGUUCGGAUGAUGGAAUUCCCAAACCAGAAUAUAUACUGGAUUGAACAAGGAAGAGAUCCCUUUAGAAAGGAGGAAGAAUCACAGAAAUCAGAAAACAUAAUUUGUUCCCCUGCUGAUAGGCAUUUUGAUCCAGUUACUGAGGGGCAGCUGUUUUGGGGUGAGUGUUAACAAAUCAGGGCCCUGACCUUAAGAUGUCACACUCAAGUUUCUUAAUCCUGGGUCUCCGAUCAUGUCUUCCUAUUUGACC